GGGGUUGUGGCUCAGUGGUAGAGUGCUCACCUAGCUCAUGUGAGGCCCUGGGUUCAAUCCUCAGCACCACA
This 71-nucleotide transfer RNA is filed under the name Marmota monax (woodchuck). RNAcentral describes it as "tRNA.Ala". The record is from RNAcentral. Lineage: Eukaryota; Metazoa; Chordata; Mammalia; Rodentia; Sciuridae.